AAUAAGUGCAGUCAUAAGUUUCCGCGCCCAACUUUGAUCGUCCGUCUUAUUUGAAAUUUUUCUAUAAUUAGCAUUUUUGUUGUUAUAAGAUGAUAAAACAUGAGUAGUACUUUACUCGUGACUUGUGUUUUUCAAUUUUUUUAGAAAAUUUUCAAAUAAGACGAAUGGUCAAAGUUGAACGCGGAAAAUCAUGGCUGCACUUAUU
This is a microRNA precursor of Oryza rufipogon (brownbeard rice), 205 nucleotides long. It matches the Rfam family "MIR812 microRNA precursor family". The record is from Rfam. NCBI's taxonomy places the organism in Eukaryota, Viridiplantae, Streptophyta, Magnoliopsida, Poales, Poaceae.